AUGGCGUCUCGCCGGAGGGUUGAGGAGAGCGUGUGGGUGGCGGACGUGGAUGCGGCGCUGAGCGACCAUGACCCGUCGACGGAGGCAGCGCAGUGGCAGUGGCACUGCAUCUACCGCGUGCCAGCGUGCAUCAAGCACCUGAAUCUCAAGGCCUACCGGCCGCAGGUGGUGUCCCUGGGCCCUUUCCACCACGGCGAGCCGCACCUGCUGCCCAUGGACGCGCACAAGCGCCGCUCGCUCCUCCACUUGCUCCGGCGCGCGCGCAAGCCGCUGUCAGAGUUCGUAGCGGCCGUGGCCGGCGUGGCGGAGCAGCUGGAGGGUGCGUACCAGGGCCUCGCCGACGACCGGCGAUGCGGCCUCAGCUGCGAGGAAGAGAGGAGGGAGAGGUUCCUCGAGAUGAUGGUCACCGACGGGUGCUUCCUGCUGGAGGUGAUGAGGAUGGCGUCCGGUUUCGAGGUGAACGACUACGCGCCCAACGACCCCGUCUUCAGCAACCACGGCCUGCUCUACAACGUGCCCUACAUCCGCCGCGACAUGAUCAUGAUCGAGAACCAGCUGCCGCUCCUCGUCCUCCACAAGCUCCUCGCCGUCGAGACCGGCAGAGAUGAGCAGAACGAGGACUUGAUCAACCGGAUGGUGUGGCGGUUUCUAUCCCCGGCUGCUUGGCCUCCGGCGACCGGCGUCGGACUGGCGCUCCACCCGCUAGACAUCCUCCGCCGGAGCCUGCUCUACGGCCCCACGCAGACGGCUCCCCCCGCGCCUCCGGAUUACGCGGUCGCGGACGACAUCAUCCGGUCCGCCGAGGAGCUCUACGAGGCGGGCGUUCGAUUCAAGCGGAGCCGGACGAGCAGCCUCCUGGACAUCAGCUUCCAUCGCGGCGUGCUCCGCCUGCCGGCCAUCGUGGUUGACGACACCACGGAGUACAUGCUGCUGAACCUGAUGGCGUUCGAGCGGUUGCACGCUGGCGCCGGCAACGAGGUGACCGCCUACGUCUUCUUCAUGGACAACAUGAUCGACACGGCGGCGGACGUGGCGCUGCUGACCUGCAGGCGGAUCGUCCACAACACGGUGGGCAGCGACAAGGCGGUGGCGAAGCUCUUCAACGGGAUGUCGAGGGACGUGGUGUUGGAGCCGCAGAGCGCGCUGGACGACGUGCACCGGCAGGUGAACGCCUACUGCCGGAAGAGGUGGAACCGCUGGCGCGCCAACCUAGUGCACACCUACUUCAAGAGCCCCUGGUCGUUCCUCUCCCUCGCCGCCGCUAUCUUCCUCCUCGGCAUGACCAUCAUGCAGACAGUCUACACCGUGCUACAGUUCUACCAGGAUGCCAGCACCAGCUAG
Molecule: ribosomal RNA, 1341 nt
Filed under: Triticum aestivum (bread wheat)
Lineage: Eukaryota; Viridiplantae; Streptophyta; Magnoliopsida; Poales; Poaceae
Description: partial small subunit ribosomal RNA
Source: RNAcentral